UACGGGGGGGGCAAGCGUUGUUCGGAAUUACUGGGCGUAAAGGGUUCGUAGGUGGCUUGCUAAGUCACACGUGAAAUCCCUCAGCUUAACUGGGGAAGUGCACCCGAAACUGGCAGGCUUGAGUACUAAAGAGGGUCGCGGAAUUCCCGGUGUAGAGGUGAAAUUCGUAGAUAUCGGGAGGAACACCGGUGGCGAAGGCGGCGACCUGGGUAGAUACUGACGCUGAGGCACGAAAGCGUGGGGAGCAAACAGG
This 253-nucleotide ribosomal RNA is filed under the name uncultured bacterium. RNAcentral describes it as "partial 16S ribosomal RNA". It matches the Rfam family "Bacterial small subunit ribosomal RNA", at positions 524 to 776 of the family's 1533-position model. The record is from RNAcentral.